Molecule: ribosomal RNA, 1274 nt
Filed under: uncultured bacterium
Lineage: Bacteria
Description: bacterial SSU rRNA
Rfam family: Bacterial small subunit ribosomal RNA
Source: RNAcentral
GUAGCAGGGGGAUAAGCGGAAGAAAUUCAGUGUAAUACCGAGUAACAACCCUGGGAGGCAUCUCCUUGAGUUUAAAGGAAGCGAUUCAGGCUACGGAUGGUCAUGCGUGUCAUUAGCUUGUUGGCGGGGUAUCGGCCCACCAAGGCGACGAUGCGUAGGGGUUCUGAGAGGAAGGUCCCCCACACUGGUAAUGAGACACGGACCAGACUCUUACGGGAGGCAGCAGUGAGGAAUAUUGGUCAAUGGCCGCAGGGGCGAACCAGCCAAGUCGCGUGAGGGAUGUCGGUCCUGUGGAUUGUAAACCUCUUUUGUCAGGGAGCAAAGGGCGUCACGUGUGGCGCUUUGCGAGUACAUGAAGAAAAAGCAUAUGCUAACUCUGUGCCAGCAGCCGCGGUAACACGGAGGAUGCGAGCGUUAUCUGGAUUUAUUGGGUUUAAAGGGUGCGCAGGGGGAAUGUCAAGUCUGCGGUAAAAUUUUGGGGCUCAACCCCGUUGUGCCGUUGAAACUGGCGUUCUUGAGUGAGCGAGAAGUAUGCGGAAUGCGUGGUGUAGCGGUGAAAUGCAUAGAUAUCACGCAGAACUCCGAUUGGGAAGGCAGUCUACCGGCGCUCAACUGACGCUCAUGCCCGAAAGCGUGGGUAUUGAACAGGAUUAGAUACCCUGGUAGUCCACGCAGUAAACGAUGAAUACUCACUGUCCGGGCCGAUUGAGGUCUGGGGGGUACAGGGAAAGCGUUAAGUAUUCCACCUGGGGAGUACGCCGGCAACGGUGAAACUCAAAGGAAUUGACGGGGGCCCGCACAAGCGGAGGAACAUGUGGUUUAAUUCGAUGAUACGCGAGGAACCUUACCCGGGCUCAAACGACGGAUGGAUGUUUUUGAAAGAAGGCAGCCCUUCGGGGCAUCCGUCGAGGUGCUGCAUGGUUGUCGUCAGCUCGUGCCGUGAGGUGUCGGCUUAAGUGCCAUAACGAGCGCAACCCCCAUCGCCAGUUACCAGCAAGUAAAGUUGGGGACUCUGGCGAGACUGCCGGCGCAAGCUGUGAGGAAGGCGGGGAUGACGUCAAAUCAGCACGGCCCUUACGUCCGGGGCGACACACGUGUUACAAUGGCAGGUACAGAGAGAAGCGAUGCGGCGACGCAGAGCGGAACUUCAAAGCCUGUCUCAGUUCGGAUUGGAGUCUGCAACCCGACUCCAUGAAGCUGGAUUCGCUAGUAAUCGCGCAUCAGCCACGGCGCGGUGAAUACGUUCCCGGGCCUUGUACUCACCGCCCGUCAAG